UUUGAGAGGAUGAUCAGCCACAUUGGGACUGAGACACGGCCCAAACUCCUACGGGAGGCAGCAGUGGGGAAUCUUGCACAAUGGAGGAAACUCUGAUGCAGCGAUGCCGCGUGAGUGAAGAAGGCCUUUGGGUUGUAAAGCUCUUUCGUCGGGGAAGAAAAUGACUGUACCCGAAUAAGAAGGUCCGGCUAACUUCGUGCCAGCAGCCGCGGUAAUACGAAGGGACCUAGCGUAGUUCGGAAUUACUGGGCUUAAAGAGUUCGUAGGUGGUUGAAAAAGUUGGUGGUGAAAUCCCAGAGCUUAACUCUGGAACUGCCAUCAAAACUUUUCAGCUAGAGUUUGAUAGAGGAAAGCAGAAUUUCUAGUGUAGAGGUGAAAUUCGUAGAUAUUAGAAAGAAUACCAAUUGCGAAGGCAGCUUUCUGGAUCAUUACUGACACUGAGGAACGAAAGCAUGGGUAGCGAAGAGGAUUAGAUACCCUCGUAGUCCAUGCCGUAAACGAUGUGUGUUAGACGUUGGAAAUUUAUUUUCAGUGUCGCAGCGAAAGCGAUAAACACACCGCCUGGGGAGUACGACCGCAAGGUUAAAACUCAAAUGAAUUGACGGGGACCCGCACAAGUAGUGGAGCAUGUGGUUUAAUUCGAAGAUACGCGCAGAACCUUACCAACACUUGACAUGUUCGUCGCGACUUUAAGAGAUUAAAGUUUUCGGUUCGGCCGGACGAAACACAGGUGCUGCAUGGCUGUCGUCAGCUCGUGUCGUGAGAUGUUGGGUUAAGUCCCGCAACGAGCGCAACCCUCACUUUUAGUUGCCAUCAUUUAGUUGGGCACUCUGAAAGAACUGCCAGUGAUAAGCUGGAGGAAGGUGGGGAUGACGUCAAG
RNAcentral lists this ribosomal RNA (880 nucleotides) under marine metagenome. RNAcentral describes it as "bacterial SSU rRNA". It matches the Rfam family "Bacterial small subunit ribosomal RNA", at positions 291 to 1189 of the family's 1533-position model. The record is from RNAcentral.